This 1644-nucleotide ribosomal RNA is filed under the name Ophidiaster granifer. RNAcentral's name for it is "16S ribosomal RNA". It matches the Rfam family "Bacterial large subunit ribosomal RNA", at positions 390 to 2925 of the family's 2925-position model. Lineage: Eukaryota; Metazoa; Echinodermata; Asteroidea; Valvatida; Ophidiasteridae. The record is from RNAcentral.
UUAAAUUUUUGCUUUUUUAUUAAUAAAACAAAAUAUUGUAAAAAUUUGUAAUUAGGUUAAGUAUAGUUAUUAGAAAUAUGAAUUAAGAACUAUAGAGGAAGUACCGUGAGGGAAUAUUGAAAUAAUUUGAAAAAUUAAUGAAGAAAAAAGAAGGAGUAAAAUUCUGUACCUUUUGUAUAAUGGUAAAGUGAGGAAAUAGUCUAAAAAUUUAAGGUAACCCGAAAUUAAGUGAGCUAAUGUUUUCUACUUUUAGAGAUGGACUUUUACUGUUGCAGUAGUAAUGUUUGAGUAAACAUUAGUUGUUAAAUGCUAAUCGUACUUAAUAGUAGCUGGUUUCUCGAGAAAUUAGUCUUAGCUAAGAAUACAAAGUAUAUUGAUAGUAUAAAUCAUUUUAGAUAAGAAAAAGCUAAAAAAUAGUAUUGUAUUUUUAGACAAAUAAGGAUAAGCUUAUUUGUCAAAUAGGAAAAAACCUUAAUUAUAAAUAAAGGUUAAUUUUAAUACAAAAUGUAAUUAUUAAAAUAGUCUGUUGUAGGAUUAAUGGCAUCCAUCAUUAUAGAAAGCGUUAAAGCUCUGACUUAAUUUAGGAUAUUACAAAAAAUUUGAAUAAGGUUAACCCGUAUUAUAAUCGUUUUUAUCGAGAGAUUUCGUUUUAAUACAGAAAUUAUCGUAAAAUAAAAUGCUUUAAUUAGUAAUGAAUUUUGGAUUGGUUGGAGAAUAAUCUAUAAUCCUAACUGUAGGAUGGGAAAAUAUUUAUAAAAUCAGGAAAUUGUUUUUAAAAAAUUGUCUACCAACACAGGUAAUCUAAAUAAUAUAAAAUUAAAAGGAAGGAAUUCGGCAAAAUUGUGACUUCGCCUGUUUACCAAAAACAUCGCUCUUUGAUAAAUUUUUAUGAUAUAUAAAGAGUUCUGCCUGCCCAGUGACUUAUAGGUUAAACGGCCGCGGUAUUUUGACCGUGCGAAGGUAGCAUAAUCAUUUGCCUUUUAAAUGGAGGCUGGUAUGAAUGGCAAGACGGAAGUCAAACUGUCUCUCUUUUAAUAAUCUUGAAAUUAAUAUUCUCGUGAAGAAGCGAGAAUAGAGUCGUAGGACGAGAAGACCCUAUCGAGUUUUAGUAUAGGUUAUUAGGUAUUUUAGAUACUUGUAGAAGCUGAUUAAUAUUUUUUAAGCCUAAAAUAAUUUCACUUUAAAUAAGUAUAAUGCUUUAAAACUGAUACUUUAAUUGGGGCAAUUGCGGAGAAAAUUAAUCCUCCGCUGUGAAAUAAAAUUUGAAAAUUACAAUUUUAUUAUGAAUAUAUUACAUAAUUGAUCCACUUUAUGAGUGAGCAAAGGAAUAAAUUACCGUAGGGAUAACAGCGUUAUUUUUUUGAAGAGUUCAUAUUGAUAAAAAAGUUUGCGACCUCGAUGUUGGAUCGGGACUUCCUGAAAAUGCAACAGUUUUCAAGGGUUGGUCUGUUCGACCAUUAAAGUCCUACGUGAUCUGAGUUCAGACCGGCGUGAGCCAGGUCAGCUUUUAUCUACGAUUUAAGAUAUUUUAUUUUCCUUAGUACGAAAGGACCAGGAAAAUAAUGCCAAUUUUUAAAAGAAAGCAUUUUUGUAAAAUUUCUGUUUUCAAAUAAAGAUAGUGACUGCUUAAUGCUCUUAGGGCAC